GAACAAAACUCGCCGCUUUCGCCCGCGGUGCGCAGACGUACUGGCCAAUCCCCACCCGAGCUACCGCGACACGUGGUACACAGCUCGACCAAUCACAGCCUGGUUACGCGGCCUCCCCCGGACGUGUUCGUAAAGCCGGCUUGUGCUACCGAUCAGUUUCUUCUCUUCUUCUCCUGUACCGAUUUAACGUUUCGACGUUGCAAACAAACACGAAAGGCUCUUUCCUUUUUAUCGAUAUUCUACUUGAAUUACUUUCGUUUCUUUCUGUCGCGGGACCGACCGGCUCGAUGCUGCGUCACCAAGGAAAUCGGUUUCUCAAUACAUAUUUAUCGAUUAUUGAAUGGACAAAUAAUACAUUGUUAUAAACAAUAAAUUGAAUUGUGUUAUUGUGUCAACUUUAUUACCAAGCUAGACAGUUGUAGUUGCCACUAAUAAUAAACAUGUACACAAUAUUUCAUCAAUGACAACAAGGAAGUAAAGAUACUUAUAAAACUCUUCAUGAUUAGACAUCUCCAUUGGAUUUAUCUGAAAUUGACAACCAAAGAGACGCGCAAAAACUACAUUUCCGUUAGCGUUUCUCAAUGUCUUUGAAGUUUGCAUACACGACUCAAUGGACCUGUGAGCAAUUGGAAGAUAACUACGAACGCUGUCUUAUACACGACCUACAAUAUUGACUUAAUUGAUACGUCUGAUGAUCUGUACUGGGAAUACAAUCAAAUGAAAGACGCACACCCGUUACCACAAAUUUUGCACUUAUUUCAAUAGUAUAACAGCAGGAAUGGCACUGGUGUUGUGGGGCCUGAAGCAAAAAUCAUUACUCUCUCGUUAUAUCGCCACGCAUUGCAUAAAUCUAAAACCUCAACAAUUUUUAAAUUUGAGAAAUUGAUAAAUAUUGUCAUCGAAUGCAACGAUAUGGAACGAUGACGCACUACCCACCUACGAACGUUUAUAAUGUUCCAUGCAAUCGUUCCAUAUCGCAACGUUUCGUUUCAUCGGAUUUGUAACAAUUAACGGCUUUCACGGUUGAAGGGCUACAAGUACUUGAUCCACUUGGGGAAACCAAGGACGAGAAACUUGCGAUUUAUAGACGAGAUAAUUAUCAUUGGAUAAUAAAUUAUUACUAUAUUAUAAUACCAUUUAUAACAAACUCUAUGAAUAAAUAACUUCUUA
Megachile rotundata (alfalfa leafcutting bee) is the source of this 1170-nucleotide long non-coding RNA. RefSeq lists it as uncharacterized. The record is from RefSeq and is a predicted model, not a curated record. Lineage: Eukaryota; Metazoa; Arthropoda; Insecta; Hymenoptera; Megachilidae.